Molecule: ribosomal RNA, 494 nt
Filed under: uncultured bacterium
Lineage: Bacteria
Description: partial 16S ribosomal RNA
Rfam family: Bacterial small subunit ribosomal RNA
Source: RNAcentral
GACGAACGCUGGCGGCGCGCUUAACACAUGCAAGUCGAACGGAAAGGCCUGCUUUCCCUUGUGGAUUGCGGGUACUCGAGUGGCGAACGGGUGAGUAACACGUGAGUGAUCUGCCCCCAACUUGGGUAUAAGCCUGGGAAACUGGGUCUAAUUCCCGAUAGGACUGCAGGGUGGUGCCUGUGGUGGAAAACGAUUUUCUAGUGGUUGGGGAUGAGCUAUCGGCCUAUCAGCUGGUUGGUGGGGUAAUGGACUAUCAAGGCGGCGGCGGGUAGCCGGGCUGGGAGGGUGAACCGGGAAAUGGGAACCGGCACACAGCCCAGAGUGCUGCGGGAGGGAGGAGUGGGGGACAAUGGGCAGAGGGCGGAAGCCUGAAGGCGGGACGCGGGGUGGGGGAUUACGGGUUUCGGGGUGUAAACUCCUAGCGAGCGCGAGGAAGCCACCUGGUUGGAAGGGUGGUGACGGUAGUGGUAGAAGAAGCACCGGCUAACUACGUG